RNAcentral lists this ribosomal RNA (497 nucleotides) under uncultured bacterium. RNAcentral describes it as "partial 16S ribosomal RNA". It matches the Rfam family "Bacterial small subunit ribosomal RNA", at positions 28 to 507 of the family's 1533-position model. The record is from RNAcentral.
GAUGAACGCUGGCGGCGUGCCUAAUACAUGCAAGUCGAGCGAACAGACGAGGAGCUUGCUCCUCUGACGUUAGCGGCGGACGGGUGAGUAACACGUGGAUAACCUACCUAUAAGACUGGGAUAACUUCGGGAAACCGGAGCUAAUACCGGAUAAUAUAUUGAACCGCAUGGUUCAAUAGUGAAAGACGGUUUUGCUGUCACUUAUAGAUGGAUCCGCGCCGCAUUAGCUAGUUGGUAAGGUAACGGCUUACCAAGGCAACGAUGCGUAGCCGACCUGAGAGGGUGAUCGGCCACACUGGAACUGAGACACGGUCCAGACGCCUACGGGAGGCAGCAGUAGGGAAUCUUCCGCAAUGGGCGAAAGCCUGACGGAGCAACGCCGCGUGAGUGAUGAAGGUCUUCGGAUCGUAAAACUCUGUUAUUAGGGAAGAACAAAUGUGUAAGUAACUAUGCACGUCUUGACGGUACCUAAUCAGAAAGCCACGGCUAACUACGUG